Nilaparvata lugens (brown planthopper) is the source of this 378-nucleotide long non-coding RNA. RefSeq lists it as uncharacterized. The transcript is spliced from 3 exons. NCBI's taxonomy places the organism in Eukaryota, Metazoa, Arthropoda, Insecta, Hemiptera, Delphacidae. The record is from RefSeq and is a predicted model, not a curated record.
AUUUAAUUAUAUAAAAUACAGUAGCCUCUCUCUUAACCGGACACCUUUUAACCGGACAUCGGUUUAACCGUACUACACUCCACGGAAGUGACAUCUCUUUAACCGGAAAAUAAUUAUCAGCACAUCGGUUCAACCGGACUGGAUUGGCAGGAAAAAGUGUAAAAAGGCUUAGCAACUAACUAUUUUCUUGUGUUUUGUGUUCACAGAUAUCAUAAUAAAGCGUCUAGUUUUAUUAUUUUUACGUAAAAGUCAUUAUUGGCUUAUAAACUACAAAAUAUGCGUACCAAUUUAACGACUUUUAGGGAACGUCGGUUUAACCGGAAAAACGUUAUCCGGACUGGCCUCAGUCCCGAUGAGUCCGGAUAAGAGAGAGGCUAC